UGAGGAAUAUUGGUCAAUGGGCGGAAGCCUGAACCAGCCAAGUCGCGUGAGGGAAGACGGUCCUAUGGAUUGUAAACCUCUUUUGCCGGGGAGCAAAGCCGGGCUCGUGAGCCCGGAAGGAGAGUACCCGGAGAAAAAGCAUCGGCUAACUCCGUGCCAGCAGCCGCGGUAAUACGGAGGAUGCGAGCGUUAUCCGGAUUUAUUGGGUUUAAAGGGUGCGUAGGCGGGAUCUUAAGUCAGCGGUAAAAAUGCGGGGCUCAACCCCGUAGUGCCGUUGAAACUGAGGUUCUUGAGUGGGCCGAGAAGUAUGCGGAAUGCGUGGUGUAGCGGUGAAAUGCAUAGAUAUCACGCAGAACUCCGAUUGCGAAGGCAGCAUACCGGCGCCCAACUGACGCUGAGGCACGAAAGCGUGGGGAUCGAACAGGAUUAGAUACC
Molecule: ribosomal RNA, 435 nt
Filed under: uncultured bacterium
Lineage: Bacteria
Description: bacterial SSU rRNA
Rfam family: Bacterial small subunit ribosomal RNA
Source: RNAcentral